Molecule: ribosomal RNA, 253 nt
Filed under: uncultured bacterium
Lineage: Bacteria
Description: partial 16S ribosomal RNA
Rfam family: Bacterial small subunit ribosomal RNA
Source: RNAcentral
UACGGGGGGGGCAAGCGUUGUUCGGAAUUACUGGGCGUAAAGGGCUCGUAGGCGGCCAACUAAGUCAGACGUGAAAUCCCCAGGCUUAACCUGGGAACUGCAUUCGGGACUGCAUUGCUAGAGUAUGGGAGAGGGAAGUGGAAUUUCCGGUGUAGCGGUGAAAUGCGUAGAUAUCGGAAGGAACAUCAGUGGCGAAAGCGACUUCCUGGACCAAUACUGACGCUCAUGUGCGAAAGCGUGGGGAGCAAACAGG